Molecule: ribosomal RNA, 503 nt
Filed under: uncultured bacterium
Lineage: Bacteria
Description: partial 16S ribosomal RNA
Source: RNAcentral
AACGCACGCUAGGGUUACCGCGGCUGCUGGCACGGAGUUAGCCGGUGCUUCUUCUGCGAGUAACGUCACAGAUGUAAGGUAUUAACUUACACCCUUUCCUCCUCGCUGAAAGUGCUUUACAACCCGAAGGCCUUCUUCACACACGCGGCAUGGCUGCAUCAGGGUUUCCCCCAUUGUGCAAUAUUCCCCACUGCUGCCUCCCGUAGGAGUCUGGGCCGUGUCUCAGUCCCAGUGUGGCUGAUCAUCCUCUCAGACCAGCUAGGGAUCGUCGCCUAGGUGAGCCUUUACCUCACCUACUAGCUAAUCCCACCUGGGCUUAUCCAUCAGCGCAAGGCCCGAAGGUCCCCCUGCUUUCCCCCGGUAGGGCGUAUGCGGUAUUAGCAGUCGUUUCCAACUGUUAUCCCCCACAAAUGGGCAAAUUCCCAGGCAUUACUCACCCGUCCGCCGCUCGUCAUCUUCAAAAGCAAGCUUUUGAAAUGUUACCGCUCGACUUGCAUGUGUUA